This 902-nucleotide long non-coding RNA is filed under the name Spirodela polyrhiza (greater duckweed). Its description in RNAcentral is "long non-coding RNA (SPOL_LNC001420)". The record is from RNAcentral. Lineage: Eukaryota; Viridiplantae; Streptophyta; Magnoliopsida; Alismatales; Araceae.
UCUCUUCCAAGUCUACAAUUCAUUCCCCAUGAAUCUCGCUCUCACUUGCCAUGUUAUCUAUCCCCUCCAUUUAUUUUUCUAUGGAAAAAUAAAGAGUAGAGGUAAUGAUUUGACUCAAGCAAUGACUCAUGAGUUUUAUACUAAUUGACAUGUAAUUUCUUACCAAGCUACUUUAACUAUGUGUUGAUCUUGAGUGUAAUUGCAACCCCAAUCAGUCCGACCAACAACAUUAAAAAUUUGUUAAAGUACCAUUCCUCUAUUACAUGAUUCAAAAGCUGUCCUCCACGUUGGGGCCUUAACUUUUCAUGUAAAGGGGUUAAUACCAUCAGCUUAACAAGAUAAUCAUUCUAAGAUCAUAGCAUGAUGUCACCAGUGUGACAUCAUCUUGACAUACCACUUGGUCACAAUAUAUUGUCAUGUUGUGUGCGCAUGCUACACAACACACAUUCAAUGGUAUGUGUAGGCCCAUCACAUCACAUAUGCUUGUCAUUCCAUGCAUACUCACCUUAGUAUUCUGCCAUGCAUGUCCCCAUACUAUACACACUGAUUGUAUUGACUAUUGAUCACAAAGUUAUCUUUUAAAUCCUGCAUCGCAUAAUUAGCUCUAUGACAUGCUUUUAUAACAACAACAUCUAGACUUCUUUCAAUGCCCUAUGAGACCCAUGAGUAUUGCAAAGGCUGAAGGAGAAUGUCAAAUGAUUAAAGUGCAAGUCAAGCUAAGUGAUGGUGAAUAAGGGAAGAAAAGGUGUUAGAGAAAGUGAAAAUUGAAUAAGAUUUUCAAGUUGGGUUAAAACUUAGUGAAGAGUUUAUACGUCACUUCAUUGAACCUUACUUAAUAAAGGUAUUUAUAGGUAUUAAUAAUAGAAUUUAUCUAAGUUACAUUAUAACAUUUUGCUUUGUCA